RNAcentral lists this ribosomal RNA (497 nucleotides) under uncultured bacterium. RNAcentral describes it as "partial 16S ribosomal RNA". It matches the Rfam family "Bacterial small subunit ribosomal RNA", at positions 28 to 507 of the family's 1533-position model. The record is from RNAcentral.
GAUGAACGCUGGCGGCGUGCCUAAUACAUGCAAGUCGAGCGAACAGACGAGGAGCUUGCUCCUCUGACGUUAGCGGCGGACGGGUGAGUAACACGUGGAUAACCUACCUAUAAGACUGGGAUAACUUCGGGGAACCGGAGCUAAUACCGGAUAAUAUAUUGAACCGCAUGGUUCAAUAGUGAAAGACGGUUUUGCUGUCACUUAUAGAUGGAUCCGCGCCGCAUUAGCUAGUUGGUAAGGUAACGGCUUACCAAGGCAACGAUGCGUAGCCGACCUGAGAGGGUGAUCGGCCACACUGAGACUGAGACACGGUCCAGACUCCUACGGGAGGCAGCAGUAGGGAAUCUUCCGCAAUGGGCGAAAGCUUGACGGAGCAACGCCGCGUGAGUGAUGAAGGUCUUCGGAUCGUAAAACUCUGUUAUUAGGGAAGAACAAAUGUGUAAGUAACUAUGCACGUCUUGACGGUACCUAAUCAGAAAGCCACGGCUAACUACGUG